RNAcentral lists this ribosomal RNA (274 nucleotides) under uncultured bacterium. Its description in RNAcentral is "partial 16S ribosomal RNA". It matches the Rfam family "Bacterial small subunit ribosomal RNA", at positions 334 to 599 of the family's 1533-position model. The record is from RNAcentral.
UUCGCCUACGGGGCGCAGCAGUAGGGAAUCUUCCACAAUGGGCGAAAGCCUGAUGGAGCAACGCCGCGUGGGUGAAGAAGGUCUUCGGAUUGUAAAGUUCUGUCCUUAUCGAAGAGAGGGUAUAGAGUGAAAAAUGAUAUACUAGGACGGUAGAUGAGGAGGAAGCCCCGGCUAACUACGUGCCAGCAGCCGCGGUAAUACGUAGGGGGCGAGCGUUGUCCGGAAUCACUGGGCGUAAAGGGCGCGUAGGCGGUAAUAUAAGUCAGAUGUGAAA